UCCACAGUGCCAGGGUUCCAAGGCUGCCCAAU
RNAcentral lists this non-coding RNA (32 nucleotides) under Mus musculus (house mouse). The record is from RNAcentral. Lineage: Eukaryota; Metazoa; Chordata; Mammalia; Rodentia; Muridae.